GAGAUAUAUUAGCUAGGGAAUAGAUGAAAAAACAUGAUGUCCAAGAAGUUUGUGAAGAUUCAGAAAAACCAAUGGAGGAUGCAGAUCAUGAAAUUUGUUCGAGGAUGUUGCUGCAAAUGAAGUGGCAUCUCAAAUAUGUAUCUUUGCUCUAACUGGGACUACCAAUUCCUCAACCAACAAAACUAUGAUGGUGCUGGGCGCUUACAAAAGAAGAACCCCACGACCAUGAAUUUUAAUUGAUUCAGGAAGCAUCCAUAACUUUUUGGAUGUAACAGUAACUAAAAGUUUGGGAUUCUCCCUAUCUGCUAUACUUCCAAUAAUAGAAGUAGUAGCCAGUUGAGAAGAAUUAUGUAUGUCACAGUCUGCUGAAAUUUUAACUGGCACAUGCAGGGCAAAGAAUUUGCCACUGCUUAAAAUUAUUGAUA
Molecule: unclassified non-coding RNA, 425 nt
Filed under: Hevea brasiliensis (rubber tree)
Lineage: Eukaryota; Viridiplantae; Streptophyta; Magnoliopsida; Malpighiales; Euphorbiaceae
Source: RNAcentral